RNAcentral lists this ribosomal RNA (437 nucleotides) under Campylobacter concisus. RNAcentral's name for it is "bacterial SSU rRNA". It matches the Rfam family "Bacterial small subunit ribosomal RNA", at positions 29 to 483 of the family's 1533-position model. The record is from RNAcentral. Lineage: Bacteria; Pseudomonadati; Campylobacterota; Epsilonproteobacteria; Campylobacterales; Campylobacteraceae.
AGUGAACGCUGGCGGCGUGCCUAAUACAUGCAAGUCGAACGGACAAGUAAGAGCUUGCUCUUAUGAGUUAGUGGCGCACGGGUGAGUAAUGUAUAGCUAAUCUGCCCUACACUAGAGGACAACAGUUGGAAACGACUGCUAAUACUCUAUACUCCUCUCUAGCAUAAGUUAGAUAGGGAAAGUUUUUCGGUGUAGGAUGAGGCUAUAUUGUAUCAGCUAGUUGGUGAGGUAAUGGCUCACCAAGGCUAUGACGCAUAACUGGUCUGAGAGGAUGAUCAGUCACACUGGAACUGAGACACGGUCCAGACUCCUACGGGAGGCAGCAGUAGGGAAUAUUGCUCAAUGGGGGAAACCCUGAAGCAGCAACGCCGCGUGGAGGAUGACACUUUUCGGAGCGUAAACUCCUUUUGUUAGGGAAGAACAAGACGGUACCUAAC